This 48-nucleotide ribosomal RNA is filed under the name Boeremia exigua var. exigua. RNAcentral's name for it is "partial 18S ribosomal RNA". It matches the Rfam family "Eukaryotic small subunit ribosomal RNA", at positions 1783 to 1831 of the family's 1831-position model. Lineage: Eukaryota; Fungi; Ascomycota; Dothideomycetes; Pleosporales; Didymellaceae. The record is from RNAcentral.
GAAAAGUGUAACAAGGUUUCCGUAGGUGAACCUGCGGAAGGAUCAUUA